CAGUAGCCGCGGUAAUACAGAGGGUGCGAGCGUUAAUCGGAUUUACUGGGCGUAAAGCGUGCGUAGGCGGCUUCUUAAGUCGGAUGUGAAAUCCCUGAGCUUAACUUAGGAAUUGCAUUCGAUACUGGGAAGCUAGAGUAUGGGAGAGGAUGGUAGAAUUCCAGGUGUAGCGGUGAAAUGCGUAGAGAUCUGGAGGAAUACCGAUGGCGAAGGCAGCCAUCUGGCCUAAUACUGACGCUGAGGUACGAAAGCAUGGGGAGCAAACAGGAUUAGAUACCCCGGUAGUCCCUGUCUCUUAUAU
Molecule: ribosomal RNA, 301 nt
Filed under: uncultured bacterium
Lineage: Bacteria
Description: partial 16S ribosomal RNA
Rfam family: Bacterial small subunit ribosomal RNA
Source: RNAcentral